This 23-nucleotide microRNA is filed under the name Apis mellifera (honey bee). RNAcentral describes it as "ame-miR-980-3p". Its record names the gene ame-miR-980-3p. Lineage: Eukaryota; Metazoa; Arthropoda; Insecta; Hymenoptera; Apidae. The record is from miRBase by way of RNAcentral.
AAGCUGCCUUUUGAAGGGCAACA